Non-coding RNA from Ornithorhynchus anatinus (platypus), 72 nucleotides. The record is from Rfam. Lineage: Eukaryota; Metazoa; Chordata; Mammalia; Monotremata; Ornithorhynchidae.
AGCAGGGUGGCUCAGUGGGAAGAGCACGGGCUCUGGAGUCAGAGAUCAUGGGUUCAAAUCCCGGCUCUGCCA